Molecule: microRNA, 22 nt
Filed under: Tribolium castaneum (red flour beetle)
Lineage: Eukaryota; Metazoa; Arthropoda; Insecta; Coleoptera; Tenebrionidae
Description: tca-miR-3832-5p
Source: miRBase by way of RNAcentral
GGGCGAAAUGAUUCUGGUGUGU